Hipposideros armiger (great roundleaf bat) is the source of this 438-nucleotide long non-coding RNA. RefSeq lists it as uncharacterized. The record is from RefSeq and is a predicted model, not a curated record. Lineage: Eukaryota; Metazoa; Chordata; Mammalia; Chiroptera; Hipposideridae. The transcript is spliced from 3 exons.
GCAAGCUCCAGCUGCCAAGAUGGCAGGAAAGCUGCCUGAGAGCCAGACCUGAGGCACUUUUCCCUGCAGAAGACUCAGCAGAGGAAGAGCAAGCCCAUGAAAGGUCCCAGAGUGAAUUGGAACUGAUGUCACCACCCUGCGCACUACAAAAAAACGGCUGAUGUUAGAACUGAAGAGGGCGGCUGGGUGCCUCAGUUUGUUAGAGCGCAUGCUCUGAAGAACAAGGUUGCCGGUUUGAUUCCCACAUGGGCCAGUGAGCUGCACCCUCCGCAACUAGAUUGAAGACAACGACUUGCGCUGAGCUGCUGGUGGGCGGCUGGAUGGCUCAGUUGGUUACAGUGUGUGCUGAUAACAAGAUUGCUGGCUGGAUUCCUGAAUGGGAUGGUGGGCUGUGCCCCCCGCAAGUAGACUGAAAAUGGCGACUGGACUUGGAGCUGA